RNAcentral lists this small nuclear RNA (21 nucleotides) under Arabidopsis thaliana (thale cress). Its description in RNAcentral is "snRNA_17514". The record is from RNAcentral. Lineage: Eukaryota; Viridiplantae; Streptophyta; Magnoliopsida; Brassicales; Brassicaceae.
AAAAAUUACACAGAUGUGUUU